CGUGGCAUUCUGAGUGUCACUGUCGUCAUGGAUGGGCAGAAAGUAGUGAGUGUCGAAAAUAAAACUCUUUGGUCUGUAAAUUCUGAUGUCAAAACCCACGUUAAUUUUAUUAACCAGUCAAAACAAAGCGCCCGAGCAUGGUGGUUUUCUGACUAUGGGUUGAACCAAGAAGACACGCAUCCAUGGCUUUUCAGAGCCUCUCGAAAUGGGGCGAAACUUUUAGCUAAUCAGCAAGAAGUUUAUCUGCCAGCAGCUGCCACCGAAUAUGAAGAGGAUGGUCAGCCCAAGUUUCUGAAUGUUGUCAUAACUACACCAGUGUACUCUCUCCAGGAGUGUUGUCUGAUGCUAAUCCGUAAUCUGGUAGAAGUGGAGGACUACGACAGACUGGACAUCCCCGAGUCACUGAAGACAGACCUCAGACAACAGCCUGACUUACUGAAGGAGCUGGGAAUAGGAGUGUUGACCUAGGAUCAGUUGUAUCAUUUAGAUCACAAUGAAUCAGAUUACAUGGACAGGGGGGGUGACCUGAUCCUAGAUCAGCUCUCAUACUCUGAGAAGCUUUAUGCAUAACAGGCCACUGAAUAAUGGACUUUCUGUUGACCAAAUGUAGCCUUUUCCCCUGCUCUGAACUCGUUGGUGGCUCUGGAACAGUGGCAGUCAAAGUCCGGUUUGGAGAACUGCAGUGGGGUCGCGAAUUAAGAGUACUUAUUAUUAUUAAGAUUACAUAUUAUUAAGAUUACAUAUUGUAUGGGACAAAAACAAUUAAACAUUUUAAGAAAUAUA
Salmo salar (Atlantic salmon) is the source of this 783-nucleotide long non-coding RNA. RefSeq lists it as uncharacterized. The record is from RefSeq and is a predicted model, not a curated record. Lineage: Eukaryota; Metazoa; Chordata; Actinopteri; Salmoniformes; Salmonidae.